GUUGAGGUCUAUCCCCAUGGAGCUUUUCCCGUAGACUCACAUUGUUGGAAAUGCCUCACAGAGUAACCUUGUGGUUUUCGCUUUACUCAGAGAACUAUCUACUAGAUGUGUAGUAACGAACUACAAGACAGAG
Molecule: small nucleolar RNA, 133 nt
Organism: Equus asinus (donkey)
Lineage: Eukaryota; Metazoa; Chordata; Mammalia; Perissodactyla; Equidae
Source: Ensembl